CCGCAGUGUACAAGUGACUGUACGGAACCUUCGUCGCACAGCAUUAUCCGGGGAAAUUGAUUGUCGUUGCACCGGUGUCGGGAAGUGCGCAUGUUUUGAAAGAUGGCGGACGUUCCUAACGAUGCACCAGAACACUGUCCCGGCACAAGCAGUGACCAGGCUGGUAAAUCAUCAGCAUGUCAAGGAUGCCCAAACCAAAACAUAUGUGCUUCUGGUGCUGCCAAAGCUCCUGAUCCAGCCAUAGAGGAAAUCAGGCAGAAACUGAGCUCUGUAAAGCACAAGAUUCUGGUUUUGUCUGGAAAAGGGGGUGUUGGGAAGAGCACGUUCAGUGCACAUUUGUCUCAUGCAUUGGCUAGUGAUGACUCUAAAGAGGUUGCACUGCUAGAUGUGGACAUCUGUGGACCAUCUAUACCAAAAAUAAUGGGGUUAGAGGGGGAGCAGGUUCAUCAGAGUGGCUCAGGCUGGUCUCCAGUGUAUGUUGAGGACAACUUAGCCGUCAUGUCCAUCGGCUUCCUGCUCAGCAGUCCAGAUGAUGCUGUUAUCUGGAGAGGCCCCAAAAAGAACGGCAUGAUAAAGCAGUUUCUGAGGGAUGUGGACUGGGGAGAAGUGGACUAUCUGGUCGUAGACACGCCUCCAGGAACGUCUGACGAGCAUUUGUCUAUCGUGCAGUAUCUCAGCGGCGCUGGCAUCGACGGAGCCGUCAUCAUCACCACCCCGCAGGAAGUAUCUUUGCAGGACGUGAGAAAAGAGAUCCGAUUCUGUAAAAAGGUCAAAAUACCCAUCAUAGGUGUGAUUGAAAACAUGAGUGGCUUUGUUUGUCCCAAAUGCAAGAAUACAUCACAGAUAUUUCCUCCGACCACAGGAGGAGCACAGAGAAUGUGUGAAGAUCUACAUCUCCCUCUUUUGGGAAGAAUCCCCUUGGAUCCACGGAUAGGUGCAAAGAGCUUUAAUCUUUUACCAUUCACAAGAAACACAGACAUUUUAAACCAGGGAAAAGCUGUGACGAGGGAAGGUCUUUCCUGAAUGAAGUUCCAGACUCUCCCGCUGCAGUGGCCUAUCAGAAUAUUUUCCAGAAAAUCAGGGAUUACUGUUCUUCCCAUUCUGCACUGGAUGAUCCUUGUUGACGCUGAAAAGCACAUCAGAUCUUUGUCCAGGCAGCUCGGGCGUCCGAUGUGUUCAUAGAGCGGUGUCAUGUGAUCAAUCAGUCACCAUGACUUUUGCUUUCUGCUCACCACACCUGCUCACCUUUAUAAACUCGUCACAGGGCAAACGUAAAAAAAAGUCUGAUAUACCUGGGCUCCCUUCAAAUCGUCGAGGGUGAAAAUAUAUAUUUUUUGAGAUUUGAAAAAUAGUUUGUUACAAUAUAUCAAAAAAUGAAUUCAUGUUAUGCGUCAGACGUUAGAGAUCGCAAUCCAGGUGAUGAAUAUAAACGCGUUCGUUGUACUCGAUGAAAGUGAAACCAAAAUGUAUUUAUCACUAUAAUGACAAUCGACAUGUUUCAGCAGAGCAGAAGAAAUGAUGUUUAUUAUCGAAAAAGGCAAUGUGCACCAUACAUUGGCUUCUCGUUAAUGAGAUGUUAUGGCUUGUAAUGUUUAAUCUUUGCGAAUAAAUCUCUUACGAUAACAAUGUCUAAA
RNA transcript from Puntigrus tetrazona (Sumatra barb), 1634 nucleotides. It is a transcript of the gene named nucleotide binding protein 1 (MinD homolog, E. coli), with no coding region annotated. Lineage: Eukaryota; Metazoa; Chordata; Actinopteri; Cypriniformes; Cyprinidae. The record is from RefSeq and is a predicted model, not a curated record. The transcript has 11 exons.